AGCAGCCGCGGUAAUUCCAGCUCCAAUAGCGUAUAUUAAAGUUGUUGCAGUUAAAAAGCUCGUAGUUGAAUUUCGGGACCAAUUUGUUGGUCGUGCCUCGGUACGUACUGGUAUUAUUGGUUUCUCCCUUCUGAAGAACCUUGAUGUCAUUAAUUUGGUGUCUUGGGGAAUCAGGACUGUUACUUUGAAAAAAUUAGAGUGUUUAAAGCAAGCAUACGCUUGAAUACAUUAGCAUGGAAUAAUGAAAUAGGACGUUUGAUUCUAUUUUGUUGGUUUCUAGGAUCGACGUAAUGAUUAAUAGGGAUAGUUGGGGGCAUUAGUAUUCAAUUGUCAGAGGUGAAAUUCUUGGAUUUAUUGAAGACUAACUACUGCGAAAGCAUUUGCCAAGGAUGUUUUCAUUAAUCAAGAACGAAAGUUGGGGGAUCGAAGACGAUCAGAUACCGUCGUAGUCUUAACCAUAAACUAUGCCGACUAGGGAUCGGAUGAUGUUAAUUUUUAAUGACUCAUUCGGCGCCUUACG
Molecule: ribosomal RNA, 520 nt
Filed under: uncultured Glomus
Lineage: Eukaryota; Fungi; Glomeromycota; Glomeromycetes; Glomerales; Glomeraceae
Description: SSU rRNA
Rfam family: Eukaryotic small subunit ribosomal RNA
Source: RNAcentral